RNAcentral lists this ribosomal RNA (426 nucleotides) under uncultured bacterium. RNAcentral describes it as "bacterial SSU rRNA". It matches the Rfam family "Bacterial small subunit ribosomal RNA", at positions 355 to 774 of the family's 1533-position model. The record is from RNAcentral.
UAGGGAAUUUUCGUCAAUGGGGGGAACCCUGAACGAGCAAUGCCGCGUGAGUGAAGAAGGUCUUCGGAUCGUAAAGCUCUGUUGUAAGAGAAAAACGGUCUCCAUAGGGAAUGAUGGAGAAGUGAUGGUAUCUUACCAGAAAGCCACGGCUAACUACGUGCCAGCAGCCGCGGUAAUACGUAGGUGGCGAGCGUUAUCCGGAAUCAUUGGGCGUAAAGGGUGCGUAGGUGGCACGAUAAGUCUGUAGUAAAAGGCAGCGGCUCAACCGCUGUUGGCUAUGGAAACUGUCGAGCUGGAGUGCAGAAGAGGGCGAUGGAAUUCCAUGUGUAGCGGUAAAAUGCGUAGAUAUAUGGAGGAACACCAGUGGCGAAGGCGGCCGCCUGGUCUGCAACUGACACUGAAGCACGAAAGCGUGGGGAGCAAAUA